RNAcentral lists this ribosomal RNA (429 nucleotides) under Pseudomonadota bacterium. Its description in RNAcentral is "Proteobacteria bacterium partial 16S ribosomal RNA". It matches the Rfam family "Bacterial small subunit ribosomal RNA", at positions 355 to 776 of the family's 1533-position model. The record is from RNAcentral. Lineage: Bacteria; Pseudomonadati; Pseudomonadota.
UGGGGAAUAUUGGACAAUGGGCGAAAGCCUGAUCCAGCCAUGCCGCGUGUGUGAAGAAGGUCUUCGGAUUGUAAAGCACUUUAAGUUGGGAGGAAGGGCAGUAAGCGAAUACCUUGCUGUUUUGACGUUACCGACAGAAUAAGCACCGGCUAACUCUGUGCCAGCAGCCGCGGUAAUACAGAGGGUGCAAGCGUUAAUCGGAAUUACUGGGCGUAAAGCGCGCGUAGGUGGUUCGUUAAGUUGAAUGUGAAAGCCCCGGGCUCAACCUGGGAACUGCAUCCAAAACUGGCGAGCUAGAGUAGGGCAGAGGGUGGUGGAAUUUCCUGUGUAGCGGUGAAAUGCGUAGAUAUAGGACGGAACCCCAGUGGCGAAGGCGACCACCUGGGCUCAUACUGACACUGAGGUGCGAAAGCGUGGGGAGCAAACAGG